Molecule: long non-coding RNA, 4399 nt
Organism: Sparus aurata (gilthead seabream)
Lineage: Eukaryota; Metazoa; Chordata; Actinopteri; Spariformes; Sparidae
Source: Ensembl
GGUGCGCCCUGCAGGCUGCGUCAGCCUGUUGUGAAAUGGGACGGUCUACCCUUUGCAGCAUUUCCUGGUUGCGUCACCAGAUGUUCCCGCCCCUACCCGUAUUUAUGCAGCCCAGGUGCCCAAAAGUGACGAGAAGAGUAUACUUCUAAGUUUGUGGAAAUGUCUGAGAGAAGAAAAAAACAACUGAUUUCCUUUUUAACUCUCCUUAUUUUGGAGGAAGAGGAGAACCGGCUCCGUCACCGCCGCCGUUGGCUGUUAUAUCUCUGUUUGAGAGAGGACCAAGAGACCAGAGCCCUGUACUGCAGGCUGAAUAUGGCGGUCCCGGUCCUGGACCGAUUUUUCAAUAAUGGCAACACCAGGCAGGACUUCAGGCUGAGCAGAGAGUCUCUGGCAGUGCUGCUGAACCUUCUCCGACAGGAUCGGAGAGAUGGAUGGGGUGCCACAAUAGAGACCUUGGUGUUCCUUUUCUGGCUUGCGAGUGGGACAUCAUACAGGGUGGUCUCAAGGGUGUUUGGGAUGCCUCUCUCCACUAUCCACCGUAUCGUCCACCGAGUUACUGCGGAGGUAGUGACCAUUCGCCACAAGGUCAUCUACCUCCCACAGACCGCUGAAGACCUGGCGGAAGUAACUCGUGGGUUUGCAGGGCUUGGCAGGACACAGAGCUUUUUUAAAAGCUGCUGGAUCGAUCGAUGGCUGCCAUGUCAGAAUAAAGCCACCAAGCGGCCCUGAUGGUCACUGCUAUAAGAACAGGAAACUGUUCUCUUCCAUCAUACUGCAAGCAGUUUGUGACCAUCAGGGCUGCUUUAUAGACACGUAUGUGGGCUGUCCGGGGUCAGUGCACGACUCCCGAGUACUCCAGCACAGCCCACUGUACAGGCGGUCUAUCUACCCUCCUCCAGGGUACUUCAUCCUCGCAGACGGCAGGUACCCUUGCCUCUAACAUCCACUCCCCCUCAUCACUCCCUACAAGCGGCCGGUGCAAGGUGUGGCAGCCCAGCACUUUAACGUCCGUCAUUCCAGGGCAUGCUCUAUCAUUGAGCGUGCCUUUGGAAUGAUGAAGACCAGGUUCAGGUCGAUCUUCCUUAAAGCGCUGGAGGUGCACCACACCUUUGUGCCUCAGGUAACUCAACAUGAUUCAUUUUUUUUUUUUUUUUUUGCGUAUUGAAGCAGAGUAAAUCAAAAUUAAUGAAUAUUUACUGUUUUUGAUUUCAGGUCAUAACAGCAUGUGCCGUCCUGCACAUCUGCCUGGGGAAGGUGACAUCAUGCCCCCAGAAGAUGAGCUGCAGGACGUCAUGCCGGAGGAUGAGGGGGAGGACGGGUUGGAGGCAGUGUUGCCAGAUCAGAUUGACAGUUUCCAGCCCAAUCACAUCUUAGAACCCGCCCAAUCCAAUAAAAACACGCCCAAACCACGAAGUUGCCAGACACCCGUGUAAACCCGUAAAAUCAUGACACAUGCAAUAGAAAACACACCCAGAGCUUCAUGUCUGCAUCAAAUAACCACACAUAAAUGACAGAAAAAUAGGUUUUUGCAAAUUGCAACCAACAAUAGCACAGCAAAUGAACCAUAGGCUACACAAAUGGCAAAAUGAACCUCUGGCAUUCUAGCGCAAGGCCCAGAUUAGUAAAAAUGCCAGCUGCACGUAAAAAGGUGCACUUUUAAGCUGUGUAGGCCAACAUCACAAAUGACUUGUAUGAGGACUACAUGCAAAACAGUUUAAUGCACAACAAAAUUAUGCACAUACAGAGCGCCUCUCCCUCCCCCCUUCUCUUUUUCUCCUUGCUGCUUUCCAUACCUGUGGUGCUGAAAGACGCACAACGACCUGGCCGUACAGCAGCUGAUUGAGAUUCCGAACACUCAAAACCACGAAGAAAUUGUUUUUAGUUCAAGGAGCAAAUGCCAUAGAAUAAGUGGGCUACAGUUACCAAAAUCAGUCACAGUGCAAAUAAGAUAAGGUGACAUAAAAAUCAUCUUACCUUUACGCAGUCAGCGUUGUUAGUGCCAUUGAUAAAAUAAUAACUAUGUAUUUUGUUUUGUUAAGAAUAAGUGACUCCACAGUUUACUUCGAGCCAUGCUUAACUAGAACUGCCAAUUACUGCAGUCAGCCCUGGCCUCUGAUUGGCUGCACAGUUAACAAGCGUGCCUGUGCUUGUUAGAUUUUUUAAUUGAAGCUGUCGAGCCUUGAGAGCACACUAGUUUUUGACCGUGCUUUGAACCACUGUUAUUUUACAUUUAUUGUGCUUACCAUAAGCUUGUUUGACUGAAGAAAGUCUCCAUAGACGGUCAAAACGAACGAAGAACGUGGUCCACUGAGUUUUUGUUGAAGCAGGCGUCAACGAACUUGGACUCUGUGGCUUAAGUGGGCAUCUUUAGAGAACAGACGGAGCCACAUUAACAAGCGUCUUUCCACUAACUAGAACAAUGUUGAGAACUUGAACUUUUUACAGUCACUGGAAGCCAGGUCAGCUGGCUAAUACAUGGACGAAUCAAAUCUCCCCAGCAACUGUCGGGGAGGCUUGAAAGUGGCGGACGUCAGUCCGUUUCUGCUCAGGCCAGAGCGCACAUCCAUGAGGCUGGAAAGGAGCAGUAAUCCCAUGCGAUUUCUGGUGUCAUCCUUCAGCAGUGUCACCUGGGAAAACGCUCUCUCAACGUGGGCAUUUGAUAUUGGCAGAGUGAGCAAUCUGAUGACACCCAGCGCUAAAUCUUUGAAACACUGGUUUCCUCCAGCAUCUUUGAAAGCCUCAACUUCCAGCCAAAAGGCAUCAAUGGCAAGAUCACUUGAGAAGCCGGCUGAUGCAACGUUUCUCCACUGGCUCUCCAAGGUGUCCACCGAACAAGAGAAAAACUCAGCGGGCAAGUCUUUUACUCCUGGCCUAUUUAUUGUUGACAUCACCAGCUUCGGACAAAAAAGCUCCAGUUUGCGGAGCAUUUCCAGUGAUGCAGGAAGAUGCAUUUGAUACUGCACCAGCACUUCUUUUAGAAAAUCAAAACAGCGGGCGGAAAUUGUAUCCUUCAGCUCCGGCGCUAAUGUGCUGGCUUCCAGCUGCUGUUGGAAAGAGGAGCCCAGGUCUGCGUCCUGGUGUGAGAGGUACAGGCUGGAUGAUUUAAGGUCAAGCUCCCUGAGAAGACUGUCGCUGUUCAUGCGCAGCACGCUGGGCUUCACAACUCUCCUCAUUGUGGACAUGUACAGCCUGUCAAGAUCCCUGAAAACACCCAGCGUAUCUCCUGUUUCCAGCUGGAAAUAUUUGUUCACAGUUUUGAUUUCCAUCAACACGGGCCGGAGGAAGUGCAUGUACAGACUGUUGGAUUUGUCACUGUAUAUUUCAUUCAAAAGCCUGGCUGCAUAGCAGUGUUCGGCACUUGAAACUAAACUGAAGUGCAGCUUGAGGACAUCUUCCUGCUCUAAAAUUCUCUCAAUGCAGUCUGAGAUCACUAACCAACGAGUUGAGCUGGGGGAUAUGAAUUUCAGAGGACAGCCACCGUCAUUGAUGGCCUUGUAGACGCUGUUAUAGUCACUCUGGCAUUUUGCUGAGUGUGCGAACCAGUUGUAGGUUUCUCUGAUCAUAUAUUCCAGAUUGCUUGGAAGAAGUUGAAUUGCUUUAUGAGCCACUAUAUCCAGUGAGUGGCAAACGCAGCGAAUAAGCUGCAAACUAGGCUGCUUCUGUUUGAGCAGUGUGAAAACGGAGUGAUUUUUUCCGACCAUAACACUUGCGCCGUCUGUGGCAAUCCCCACCAGAUGUUUGAUGUCCAGGCCACAUUCACACAGGAAAGCAACGAUAGCAUCUGACAUGCCUUGAGCAUCAGCGCUGAGGAGAUCAACAAGCCCCAGAUAAGUACUGACAAACUUGUUGUGUUUCUGUGAUCGGUAUUUCACAAAUAUGCAGAGGGGCUUGUUAACGGAUAUAUCUGUUGUUUUGUCCAGGUAGAGAGAAUAUGGAGACUCACCAACAUCUUCCUUCAACUCCUCUCUGAAAUGUGGUGCCAGAACAGAUGUGAUGACAGCUGUACACUUUGUCCUGUGCAUCUUGAACGCUCCCAUCUCCUCCUGGAGUAUAUCUGACAAGUCAUGAACAGCAUUGAUGGAAGUGUGGCAGGCAACGUAGGUUGCAAUCCUCAGCUCACAACGUUUUUGGUCAUCUUUGACUCCUACACCAGAUCCCAUCGGCACAGCAAACGAUUUAACACUCGGCACACAGCGGGACUUGUGUUUUUUUGUGGCGCCAUGUUCCUUCAGAUCAUUAAGGUGAGCUCUUAUUUCUGUGUUACAAUACUUGCAACGAGCUUUAGAGUCGUCUCCUGGGACAGAUGUGAUCCAGGUUUUUAGUUCGGGGCCAGUCUCCCAUUCCUUCCUGUACGAUUUCUUGUAUUAUCCCCACUUCGGCAUGAUGCUAACUUAGGCCA